Molecule: ribosomal RNA, 168 nt
Filed under: Schoenus nitens var. concinnus
Lineage: Eukaryota; Viridiplantae; Streptophyta; Magnoliopsida; Poales; Cyperaceae
Also listed under: 1 other name
Description: 5.8S ribosomal RNA
Rfam family: 5.8S ribosomal RNA
About the family: 5.8S ribosomal RNA (5.8S rRNA) is a component of the large subunit of the eukaryotic ribosome. It is transcribed by RNA polymerase I as part of the 45S precursor that also contains 18S and 28S rRNA. Functionally, it is thought that 5.8S rRNA may be involved in ribosome translocation.
Source: RNAcentral
ACAUUAUGACUCUCGGCAACGGAUAUCUCGGCUCUCGCAUCGAUGAAGAACGUAGCGAAAUGCGAUACGUGGUGUGAAUUGCAGAAUCCCGUGAACCAUCGAGUCUUUGAACGCAAGUUGCGCCCGAGGGAUCCGCCCGAGGGCACGCCUGCCUCAUGGGCGUUAGAA